ACGUUGGAUAAGAAAGAUAGGAAAUCCCCUCAUCAUCUUUGGAGGAUAAUAAGCACACCCCCCUAUCUUGGAUGGUCUCUUCCAAAGGGCCCCGUUGUUGAAUAACCACUGUUACCAUGCAACGUAAAAACACCAUACAAUCAAUCUUCCAAAGGGCACCUUGUCAGAACAUCUACUACUCAUUGAUGGACUACAUUAGGCAGCUGAACUGAUGUUGCAGGAUUUGGUGCUUCAGCUGAGAAGGCGAUGUUCAUUAUGCUAGUUGGAGAAGAAGAGCACUAAAUAUAAGACUGUUUAUGAUCUGGAGAUGAACAUAGGAGCUGGAGGGGGAACAGACAACUUAGUCUUGUCCUCAUACUGCAACUCCAGGUUGGCGUACUGGUAAUGUACGACAUGUCAUGACUUCUAUACCAAGCUGCAGCUUGGCGAGCUAACUUCCAUGUCUUACGGAUACGAACCUAUGAAAGCUUGUAUAUAACCUCGUAGCUUGGAGAGAGUACUUUCCGGGACUUAAAAAUACAAAGCUAUGGAACCAUUUAUAACCUCAUAUCUUGGAGAGGUAACUUCCUGCGACUUAAGGAUAUGAAGCUAUGAAAGCAUUUAUAACCUUCUAUCUUGGAGAGGCUACCUUGCUGUGGUUGGGAGAGAGAACUAACCAGGAAUUACGGAUAAAGCUAUGAAACCAUUUAUAACAAUGCUUUAUCUCUGACUUGUCUGCAUAUUUAGGAACUGUACUUGAUGUAGUAAUACAGGUAAUAAUCUUUGUCCUUAAAGUGAAAGUUUCUUUGCCCCAUGAAUGCUUACAUAAAUACCUUGAACUAGUGGUUUUAAUUCUUCAAUUGGUGGAAGUUUAAUAGGGAAUUUGGUUUUUUUCUUGACUCCUUUGUGUUCCUUUGACGUUUCAAAAUGUUAACACUGACAGGGCGCACAGUGAAUUGUCCCUGUAUCCAUAUUACAUCGUGAUUUUAAGUUCCUUAGUGGAAUAUGUAAGAAACUGAAAGGGGACAAUGUGUAUCCAUAUUACAUCUUCAUUUCUGAAUCAGACUGGUCCCUAAAUCCUUGAAUAUUGGUAAGGUGAAGUUUUAAAGGGAUGUGGCUAGUAUUCCAUGCAGGUUGCAGAUUUGGCAUGGAACUUUAAUCCCAAAAAUGUGUACUUGAACAUUUUGAACUGUUGCCAUGUUUUAGGAUCGAAUAGUUCAAUAUAGAAGUUGACUUAAUUUUGAAUCCUUAAUUUUCAAAGUUCCUUUGGUAGUGCUGAAAGUAAAUUAAAGGGUUUUUAUGCUAAAGGUGUGUGCAUAACCCUUUGUCGUAGCCUCUAAUGGCUGUUGAAUGCCUAUUCAGUGCACAUGACUUGAUUUAAAAGGAGCUUAGUACUUGAGUCAUUGAUUCGGACAAGGAUUCUGUCUUGUUAACUUAGUACUUGACUUAUUUCCUUACCUCCUGUAGUCCCUGUUAACACAAGUAGUACUUAAAACAAUUAGUGUUGUGUAGUUCACAACAUUCUUGAUUCUAAGUUUAAUAUGAAAUUUGUUUUAUUUUGAAUGAUUAUUAUAAAGUUACGUCUAUGAAGACAGGUUUAGCAAAUGGAAAGGUAGACUGAGACUGUCAACUGUCCAUGCAGCCACAUAAAAAUGUCAAAAAGCUGCUUUCAAAACCCUUUAAUUUUAGUAAUUUAGUUUUGGAAAGGUGUGUUUGUCACUUUAUCCAUAAUGUCAGUAAAUGUGCAUGGAAGUUUUUAUAUCCCACGAAGUGCCUCAGCGGCGUGAUCGGUAUGGUCUUGACCUGCCACCUCAGUGGCCGCGAGUAAGAUAAUCGGGCAUUCCAUCGAGGGGGUUAGAGAUGUGUAUUUCUGGUGAUAGAAGUUCACUCGCGACGUGGUUCGGAAGUCACGUAAAACCAUUGGUCACGUUGUUGAAUAACCACUGGUUCCAUGCAACGUAAAAACACCAUACAAACAAUCUAUA
Molecule: long non-coding RNA, 1964 nt
Organism: Macrobrachium nipponense
Lineage: Eukaryota; Metazoa; Arthropoda; Malacostraca; Decapoda; Palaemonidae
Exons: 4
Source: RefSeq, a predicted model, not a curated record